Magallana angulata is the source of this 716-nucleotide long non-coding RNA. RefSeq lists it as uncharacterized. The transcript has 6 exons. The record is from RefSeq and is a predicted model, not a curated record. NCBI's taxonomy places the organism in Eukaryota, Metazoa, Mollusca, Bivalvia, Ostreida, Ostreidae.
AGGAUAUAUGUGAGUGCCAGCUUAUUCCCUGCCAAUGUAUGGCCUGAGAAGAUUGUGAUGUACAAUCCUUUUCUUUCCCGAGGGACCCCUGGAAAUCUCAUAAAUAAGGGAUCAACAGGAAGUCUGGGGGUAUCAUGGCGACCAUAUAACAAAUCUACAGGGAGCUCAACUUCUCUUCCCAGCAUAAGUAUACUAGGGGACUCUCCGGUACUCUCAUGGGUCGAGGAUCUGUAGGCCAACAUCAAUAGGGGUCAGACUCGAACUGAGUGCCUUGGUCAGUAUGGACUUGACGGGGGACACCAAACCGACAGAUGAAUUGGAAAACAAAGGCCAAUAGAAUCUCUGACGAACCCUAUGCAAAGUUCUAAGAACACCAAAAUGACCAGCUGUGGGGACAGCAUGCAACAUAGUGAAUACUUCACGCCGCAAAGAUGAGGUACUGGCAUUCUCCACAGGGACGUCGGGACAGACCAUCUGCAUUACCAUGGGAUUUUCCAGGACGAUGUAAAAUAGCAAAGUCAUAUACUGAAAGAACUUCCAUCCAGCGAGCCAUUUGACCUUCAGGAUUCUUGAAGUGCAUUAACCAGUUGAGGGCACCGUGGAUUGGCAGUCGCCGAGGAGCUUGCUUAAUUGGGGCUGAAUCUCCAGUGUUAAUUUGAUGUUGAACGAUGUUUGUGACACCAAGGUCACACUUAGACUUUGCAAAUACAUCCUUG